CGGGGGAUAUUGCACAAUGGGCGAAAGCCUGAUGCAGCGACGCCGCGUGGGGGAUGAAGGCCUUCGGGUUGUAAACUUCUUUUGCUCUGAACAAGGCAUGCCUUUGGGGUGUGUUGAGUGUAGGGGUUGAUUAGCGCCGGCUAACUACGUGCCAGCAGCCGCGGUAAUACGUAGGGCGCGAGCGUUGUCCGGAAUUAUUGGGCGUAAAGGGCUUGUAGGUGGCUGGUUGCGUCUGUCGUGAAAGCUCAUGGCUUAACUGUGGGUUUGUGGUGGGUACGGGCUGGCUUGAGUGCAGUAGGGGAGGCUGGAAUUCCUGGUGUAGCGGUGGAAUGCGCAGAUAUCAGGAGGAAUACCGGUGGCGAAGGCGGGUCUCUGGGCUGUUACUGACGCUGAGGGGCGAAAGCGUGGGGAGCGAACAGG
This 420-nucleotide ribosomal RNA is filed under the name Fusobacteriota bacterium. Its description in RNAcentral is "Fusobacteria bacterium partial 16S ribosomal RNA". It matches the Rfam family "Bacterial small subunit ribosomal RNA", at positions 355 to 776 of the family's 1533-position model. Lineage: Bacteria; Fusobacteriati; Fusobacteriota. The record is from RNAcentral.